UACGUAGGUGGCGAGCGUUGUCCGGAUUUACUGGGCGUAAAGAGCGCGCAGGCGGUCGAUCAAGUCGAGUGUGAAAGCCCCGGCUCAACUGGGGAGGUCAUUCGAUACUGAUCGACUCGAAGGCAGGAGAGGGUAGUGGAAUUCCCGGUGUAGUGGUGAAAUGCGUAGAUAUCGGGAGGAACACCAGUGGCGAAGGCGACUACCUGGCCUGUUCUUGACGCUGAGGCGCGAAAGCUAGGGGAGCAAACGGG
Molecule: ribosomal RNA, 251 nt
Filed under: uncultured bacterium
Lineage: Bacteria
Description: partial 16S ribosomal RNA
Rfam family: Bacterial small subunit ribosomal RNA
Source: RNAcentral